GACAGCAGUAGCCGCGGUAAUACGGAGGGUGCAAGCGUUAAUCGGAAUUACUGGGCGUAAAGCGCACGCAGGCGGUCUGUCAAGUCAGAUGUGAAAUCCCCGGGCUUAACCUGGGAACUGCAUUUGAAACUGGCAGGCUAGAGUCUUGUAGAGGGGGGUAGAAUUCCAGGUGUAGCGGUGAAAUGCGUAGAGAUCUGGAGGAAUACCGGUGGCGAAGGCGGCCCCCUGGACAAAGACUGACGCUCAGGUGCGAAAGCGUGGGGAGCAAACAGGAUUAGAUACCCCAGUAGUCCCUGUCUCUUAUAU
This 306-nucleotide ribosomal RNA is filed under the name uncultured bacterium. RNAcentral's name for it is "partial 16S ribosomal RNA". It matches the Rfam family "Bacterial small subunit ribosomal RNA", at positions 507 to 809 of the family's 1533-position model. The record is from RNAcentral.